Molecule: long non-coding RNA, 678 nt
Filed under: Heterocephalus glaber (naked mole-rat)
Lineage: Eukaryota; Metazoa; Chordata; Mammalia; Rodentia; Bathyergidae
Description: lncRNA (ENSHGLG00000042556.1)
Source: RNAcentral
GAUAUGUUGGAAGAUUCCCCCUAAAUAUUUUAUACAAUGUACAGGUCCUGAUCGACCUUUGACAACCGUAAAUUGGAGGAGAAGGGGAAAUCGAAACCUACCAGAGAAGAGCCCCUCUCUGAUGGUUCUGUCAACCAGCAAAGGUGUUUUUCAGUCUGACCCUGAGGACGAUUUGCGCUGACCUCCCCCUUAUCAUGCAGUCAAGAAAGGUAUGUUUGGGGGAAACAACUGCAAGCUAACUCUUCAGGUUCACCCGAAGGCGACUAAUCAAACUGAGGUCCUAAGAUCAACAAGUCUCACUCACAAGCAAGGAGGCUAAGCAACAAAACCAUAAAUCUGAUGUCACCAAAAUCUUUAACAACACAAUCGCAUGGAUGAAAAUUGUAUUUUAUAGUGUUUGUUGUUCAGCCUUCACACCUUUUAUCAUUGAAUUGAUUCAUUAUGCUUGUACAAUAUGGUAUUAAUAUGUGUUAUAGAAAUAAGACUACAUUCUUUCCUUGAAGGGAAAGGAAAAAUUAUGAGAAAAGAAAAAAAAUGGAAAUGAAAUUUAUGUAAAUAGGGAAGGGUGGAGGGGGUGAAGGGCACAAAGGUAAUGGGGAAAAAAAUAAGAACCAAGAUACAUCAUGUACAGCUACAAGCAUCCAAUGAUAAAUAUAAAUGUAUUGUAUACCUAAAAUG